Molecule: ribosomal RNA, 116 nt
Filed under: Neogale vison (American mink)
Lineage: Eukaryota; Metazoa; Chordata; Mammalia; Carnivora; Mustelidae
Source: RNAcentral
GUCUACGGCCAUACCACCCUCAACGCACCCAAUCUCGUCUGAUCUCGGAAGCUAAGCAGGGUCGGACCUGGUUAGUACUUGGAUGGGAGAAUGCUAACAAUCACAUAUUGUAUGCU